RNAcentral lists this ribosomal RNA (484 nucleotides) under uncultured bacterium. RNAcentral's name for it is "partial 16S ribosomal RNA". It matches the Rfam family "Bacterial small subunit ribosomal RNA", at positions 30 to 507 of the family's 1533-position model. The record is from RNAcentral.
AUUGAACGCUGGCGGCAGGCCUAACACAUGCAAGUCGAGCGGAUGAAGGGAGCUUGCUCCUGGAUUCAGCGGCGGACGGGUGAGUAAUGCCUAGGAAUCUGCCUGGUAGUGGGGGAUAACGUCCGGAAACGGGCGCUAAUACCGCAUUCGUCCUGAGGGAGAAAGUGGGGGAUCUUCGGGCCUCACGCUAUCAGAUGAGCCUAGGUCGGAUUAGCUAGUUGGUGGGGUAAAGGCCUACCAAGGCGACGAUCCGUAACUGGUCUGAGAGGAUGAUCAGUCACACUGGAACUGAGACACGGUCCAGACUCCUACGGGAGGCAGCAGUGGGGAAUAUUGGACGAUGGGCGAAAGCCUGAUCCAGCCAUGCCGCGUGUGUGAAGAAGGUCUUCGGAUUGUAAAGCACUUUAAGUUGGGAGGAAGGGCAGUAAGUUAAUACCUGGCUGUUUUGACGGUACCAACAGAAUAAGCACCGGCUAACUUCGUG